CAGGCUUAACACAUGCAAGUCGAGGGGCAGCAUGGUCUUAGCUUGCUAAGGCCGAUGGCGACCGGCGCACGGGUGAGUAACACGUAUCCAACCUGCCGUCUACUCUUGGACAGCCUUCUGAAAGGAAGAUUAAUACAAGAUGGCAUCAUGAGUCCGCAUGUUCACAUGAUUAAAGGUAUUCCGGUAGACGAUGGGGAUGCGUUCCAUUAGAUAGUAGGCGGGGUAACGGCCCACCUAGUCUUCGAUGGAUAGGGGUUCUGAGAGGAAGGUCCCCCACAUUGGAACUGAGACACGGUCCAAACUCCUACGGGAGGCAGCAGUGAGGAAUAUUGGUCAAUGGGCGAGAGCCUGAACCAGCCAAGUAGCGUGAAGGAUGACUGCCCUAUGGGUUGUAAACUUCUUUUAUAAAGGAAUAAAGUCGGGUAUGGAUACCCGUUUGCAUGUACUUUAUGAAUAAGGAUCGGCUAACUCCGUGCCAGCAGCCGCGGUAAUACGGAGGAUCCGAGCGUUAUCCGGAUUUAUUGGGUUUAAAGGGAGCGUAGAUGGAUGUUUAAGUCAGUUGUGAAAGUUUGCGGCUCAACCGUAAAAUUGCAGUUGAUACUGGAUAUCUUGAGUGCAGUUGAGGCAGGCGGAAUUCGUGGUGUAGCGGUGAAAUGCUUAGAUAUCACGAAGAACUCCGAUUGCGAAGGCAGCCUGCUAAGCUGCAACUGACAUUGAGGCUCGAAAGUGUGGGUAUCAAACAGGAUUAGAUACCCUGGUAGUCCACACGGUAAACGAUGAAUACUCGCUGUUUGCGAUAUACUGCAAGCGGCCAAGCGAAAGCGUUAAGUAUUCCACCUGGGGAGUACGCCGGCAACGGUGAAACUCAAAGGAAUUGACGGGGGCCCGCACAAGCGGAGGAACAUGUGGUUUAAUUCGAUGAUACGCGAGGAACCUUACCCGGGCUUAAAUUGCAGAUGAAUUACGGUGAAAGCCGUAAGCCGCAAGGCAUCUGUGAAGGUGCUGCAUGGUUGUCGUCAGCUCGUGCCGUGAGGUGUCGGCUUAAGUGCCAUAACGAGCGCAACCCUUGUUGUCAGUUACUAACAGGUUCCGCUGAGGACUCUGACAAGACUGCCAUCGUAAGAUGUGAGGAAGGUGGGGAUGACGUCAAAUCAGUACGGCCCUUACGUCCGGGGCUACACACGUGUUACAAUGGGGGGUACAGAGGGCCGCUACCACGCGAGUGGAUGCCAAUCCCCAAAACCUCUCUCAGUUCGGACUGGAGUCUGCAACCCGACUCCACGAAGCUGGAUUCGCUAGUAAUCGCGCAUCAGCCACGGCGCGGUGAAUACGUUCCCGGGCCUUGUACACACCGCCCGUCAAGCCAUGGGAGCCGGGGGUACCUGAAGUGCGUAACCGCGAGGAGCGCCCUAGGGUAAAACUGGUGACUGGGGC
RNAcentral lists this ribosomal RNA (1434 nucleotides) under uncultured organism. RNAcentral describes it as "16S ribosomal RNA". It matches the Rfam family "Bacterial small subunit ribosomal RNA". The record is from RNAcentral.